CUGAGACAGGCACUUCUGAUGGUUGCCAGUCACCAUGCCAUUCAGCAGCAGGUGGUCCCAAGGAGGGCCCUGCGCCGUGUGCCACCAUGAAAGAUCCAGAGCCCUCGAGCCGCUGUG
This is a long non-coding RNA of Sapajus apella (tufted capuchin), 117 nucleotides long. RefSeq lists it as uncharacterized. The record is from RefSeq and is a predicted model, not a curated record. NCBI's taxonomy places the organism in Eukaryota, Metazoa, Chordata, Mammalia, Primates, Cebidae. The transcript has 3 exons.